AGCUGAUCCAGCCAUGCCGCGUGUGUGAAGAAGGUCUUCGGAUUGUAAAGCUCUUUAAGUUGGGAGGAAGGGCAGUAAGCUAAUACCUUGCUGUUUUGACGUUACCAACAGAAUAAGCACCGGCUUACUUCGUGCCAGCAGCCGCGGUAAU
Molecule: ribosomal RNA, 151 nt
Filed under: uncultured bacterium
Lineage: Bacteria
Description: partial 16S ribosomal RNA
Rfam family: Bacterial small subunit ribosomal RNA
Source: RNAcentral